GAUGUAGUUCAGGCGGCCGCUGCUUGCCUUUGCGCAAGGAGAGGAAAGUCCGGGCUCCACAGAGCAGGAUGCCGGGUAACGCCCGGUGGGAGUGAUCUCGAGGAAAGUGCCACAGAAAAUAAACCGCCCGAGUUUCGGCUCGGGCAAGGGUGAAACGGUGGGGUAAGAGCCCACCGCGCAACCGGUAACGGUUGUGGCAGGGCAAACCCCAUCCGGAGCAAGACCACGUAGAGAAACGUUUGAGAGCGGCUCGCUCGAUGUUUCAGGGUAGGUUGCUAGAGGUGUUCGGUAACGAACAUCGUAGAGGAAUGGUCGCCACGUCGCUUGCGACGCACAGAACCCGGCUUACGAACCACAACAACG
RNAcentral lists this RNase P RNA (363 nucleotides) under Polyangiaceae bacterium. RNAcentral's name for it is "RNase P RNA component class A". It matches the Rfam family "Bacterial RNase P class A". Rfam says of the family: Ribonuclease P (RNase P) is a ubiquitous endoribonuclease, found in archaea, bacteria and eukarya as well as chloroplasts and mitochondria. Its best characterised activity is the generation of mature 5'-ends of tRNAs by cleaving the 5'-leader elements of precursor-tRNAs. The record is from RNAcentral. Lineage: Bacteria; Pseudomonadati; Myxococcota; Polyangiales; Polyangiaceae.